GCAAGUCGAGGGGUAACGGAAGUAGCUUGCUACUAGACGACGACCGGCGCACGGGUGAGUAACGCGUAUGUAAUCUGCCUUGUACAGAGGGAUAGCCCAGAGAAAUUUGGAUUAAUACCUCAUAGUAUUACUGAGUCGCAUGAUUUGGUAAUUAAAGCUCCGGCGGUACAAGAUGAACAUGCGUGACAUUAGCUAGUUGGUAAGGUAACGGCUUACCAAGGCUACGAUGUCUAGGGGUUCUGAGAGGAUGAUCCCCCACACUGGUACUGAGACACGGACCAGACUCCUACGGGAGGCAGCAGUGAGGAAUAUUGGUCAAUGGACGCAAGUCUGAACCAGCCAUCCCGCGUGAAGGAUGACUGCCCUAUGGGUUGUAAACUUCUUUUAUAUGCAAAUAAACCUACUUUCGUGAAAGUAGCUGAAGGUAGCAUAUGAAUAAACACC
RNAcentral lists this ribosomal RNA (444 nucleotides) under uncultured bacterium. RNAcentral's name for it is "bacterial SSU rRNA". It matches the Rfam family "Bacterial small subunit ribosomal RNA", at positions 57 to 494 of the family's 1533-position model. The record is from RNAcentral.